GUAGGUGGCGAGCGUUGUCCGGAUUUACUGGGCGUAAAGAGCGCGCAGGCGGCUGGGCAAGUCCGAUGUGAAAGCUUCCGGCUUAACUGGAAAAUUGCAUCGGAAACUGCUCGGCUUGAAGGUGGGAGAGGGUAGCGGAAUUCCCGGUGUAGUGGUGAAAUGCGUAGAUAUCGGGAGGAACACCAGUGGCGAAGGCGGCUACCUGGCCCACUCUUGACGCUGAGGCGCGAAAGCUAGGGGAGCAAACGGGAUUAGAUACCCCGGUAGUCCUAGCCGUAAACGAUGAACACUAGGCGUAGUCGGUAUCGACCCCGGCUGUGCCGUAGCCAACGCAUUAAGUGUUCCGCCUGGGGAGUACGGCCGCAAGGCUAAA
Molecule: ribosomal RNA, 373 nt
Filed under: uncultured bacterium
Lineage: Bacteria
Description: bacterial SSU rRNA
Rfam family: Bacterial small subunit ribosomal RNA
Source: RNAcentral